UUUUACGUAAUUAAACAUAAAAACGAAGCUUUACACACAACACAAAUUUUUAUCUAGCUAAAUUAAAGUUUAUAGUACACUUUUUUUUUGUUUAACACAAUAUUAAUAUGGUUCAGUUUUUGUAUUGAACUUAUUUAAUCUUGAUAUUAUUUACAUUAAUAUGCUAAUCGACAAAUAACUUUUAAGUUAUAUAAAAAUAUAAUUAUACUUUCAAGAAACGCUUUUUUAUGACACAAAAUUCUUUAUCACUUCAAAGAUUAAUACACUGAAACACUGAUGUGAGUGAUGUGCGUCUUAACGAAGAACACUGUGAACAAGAUCCGACAUGUUCCU
RNAcentral lists this unclassified non-coding RNA (333 nucleotides) under Melitaea cinxia (Glanville fritillary). RNAcentral's name for it is "misc RNA ENSMCXG00005006047.1". Lineage: Eukaryota; Metazoa; Arthropoda; Insecta; Lepidoptera; Nymphalidae. The record is from RNAcentral.